RNAcentral lists this non-coding RNA (208 nucleotides) under Nocardiopsis flavescens. Lineage: Bacteria; Bacillati; Actinomycetota; Actinomycetes; Streptosporangiales; Nocardiopsidaceae. The record is from RNAcentral.
UUGUACGCUCUUCGGGCCAGUCGUACUCCACUUCGUGGGGCAGGGAACCCGGUGCGAAUCCGGGACUGACGCGCAGCGGUGAGGGUGACGGGCGGGCACGUCCCGGGGUUUCGCGUCCCGGGCGGCCACUGGGGCGCACGCGCCCCGGGAAGGCGCCCCGUACCGGUCGAACCCGAGUCCGAAGACCUGCUGGCACCGGCGGUGACGG